CUAAGCACACACACUCAUUCUGACAGGGGCUAUUAAACUGCACACCUGGCCAGCCACAGCUGUUUGUGAGGGAGCCAAAACAAAGCCUGAUGGAGGCACACAGCUAUGAAGGGCACAGGCUCAGCUCUCAGGCACCUUCUCUCCAUGGACAUGCAGCUCUGCUGGGCAAUGCAGCCCUGGCAGCUGCAGGAGAAUCCCCCUAAACUGGUAAAGGGAAGGUGUGCCUUCAGAAUCAUCUCCAGCUCAAAGGAAGAGGGCCAGACUUGAACUUCACAGUGUUGCACUUGUAUCUUUUUGAGAAAACAGAUCUGAGUUUGGUUCCCUGCUAUUCCUCAGGUUAUUCCUCAGCAGCAUGGCAUCAGCAUGUGGCCCAAUACAGGUCAGAAGAAACUCUGGCACAUACUUAAAAAAAGAUGCCCUAAAGACUGGAACGUGCUUUGUCUUAUCAUUCAUUCCAGAUACAUAGAUAAAACUGAAAAAAUAUAGCCAAGUCCUGAAUCCCAGCAUGGAGAGAAGCUUACUUCACUUCCUCUCACAUGUUGUAGAAUAUCCAUGGCAGGGGCUGAUGCAGGGACCCCCAGCUGCUCCCAGCAGGGUCACUGAGUACCAGGAGCCUCCCGGCUGCUAUAGGACAGGGCUCCUUUCUGUGCAUUGUCUCUGCUCCAGAGCUGCUCCCACCACCCAAGCUGGUUUGGGAAUCAACU
Long non-coding RNA from Passer domesticus (house sparrow), 704 nucleotides. RefSeq lists it as uncharacterized. The transcript has 3 exons. Lineage: Eukaryota; Metazoa; Chordata; Aves; Passeriformes; Passeridae. The record is from RefSeq and is a predicted model, not a curated record.